This 65-nucleotide transfer RNA is filed under the name Nautilocaris saintlaurentae. Its description in RNAcentral is "tRNA-Asn". RNAcentral also lists the same sequence under 1 other name. Lineage: Eukaryota; Metazoa; Arthropoda; Malacostraca; Decapoda; Alvinocarididae. The record is from RNAcentral.
UUAGUUAAAGCCAAAAAGAGGCAUAUCACUGUUAAUGAUAUAAUUGAAGAUUUCUUCUAACUAAG